GGGUUGUGAGGUUAAGCGACUAAGCGUACACGGUGGAUGCCCUGGCAGUCAGAGGCGAUGAAGGGCGUACUAAUCUGCGAUAAGCGCCGGUAAGGUGAUAUGAACCGUUAUAACCGGCGAUACCCGAAUGGGGAAACCCAGUGUGAUUCGUCACACUAUCAUUAACUGAAUCCAUAGGUUAAUGAGGCGAACCGGGGGAACUGAAACAUCUAAGUACCCCGAGGAAAAGAAAUCAACCGAGAUUCCCCCAGUAGCGGCGAGCGAACGGGGAGGAGCCCAGAGCCUGAAUCAGCAUGUGUGUUAGUGGAAGCGUCUGGAAAGGCGCGCGAUACAGGGUGACAGCCCCGUACACAAAAGCGCAUGUGCUGUGAGCUCGAUGAGUAGGGCGGGACACGUGGUAUCCUGUCUGAAUAUGGGGGGACCAUCCUCCAAGGCUAAAUACUCCUGACUGACCGAUAGUGAACCAGUACCGUGAGGGAAAGGCGAAAAGAACCCCGGCGAGGGGAGUGAAAAAGAACCUGAAACCGUGUACGUACAAGCAGUGGGAGCCCCACCACCAAAGCAUUUGCUGUACCGCGUUGACGGAGCGAAGCGACGUCAAACCGAUAAAACAGCAGUG
Molecule: ribosomal RNA, 619 nt
Filed under: Salmonella enterica subsp. enterica serovar Enteritidis
Lineage: Bacteria; Pseudomonadati; Pseudomonadota; Gammaproteobacteria; Enterobacterales; Enterobacteriaceae
Description: partial 23S ribosomal RNA
Rfam family: Bacterial large subunit ribosomal RNA
Source: RNAcentral